CCUACGGGAGGCAGCAGUCGAGAAUCAUUCACAAUGGGGGAAACCCUGAUGGUGCGACGCCGCGUGGGGGAAUGAAGGUCUUCGGAUUGUAAACCCCUGUCAUGUGGGAGCAAAUUAAAAAGAUAGUACCACAAGAGGAAGAGACGGCUAACUCUGUGCCAGCAGCCGCGGUAAUACAGAGGUCUCAAGCGUUGUUCGGAAUCACUGGGCGUAAGGCGUGCGUAGGCUGUUUCGUAAGUCGUGUGUGAAAGGCGCGGGCUCAACCCGCGGACGGCACAUGAUACUGCGAGACUAGAGUAAUGGAGGGGGAACCGGAAUUCUCGGUGUAGCAGUGAAAUGCGUAGAUAUCGAGAGGAACACUCGUGGCGAAGGCGGGUUCCUGGACAGUAACUGACGCUGAGGCACGAAGGCCAGGGGAGCGAAAGGGAUUAGAUACCCCUGUAGUC
RNAcentral lists this ribosomal RNA (446 nucleotides) under uncultured bacterium. RNAcentral's name for it is "partial 16S ribosomal RNA". It matches the Rfam family "Bacterial small subunit ribosomal RNA", at positions 338 to 795 of the family's 1533-position model. The record is from RNAcentral.